ACUACGAGCAAUAGCUCAAACCUUACGGACUUGGCGGUGCUCCACAUUUACCUAGCAAAGCCUGUUCUAUGAUCGAUAACCCCCAAUACACCUCGGCACCCAAAGCCAAUUCCCCUAUAUACCUAAACCGUCAGCUUACCCUUGGACGCAAAUCCAGUGAGCAAAAUGUAAAACAUCCCCAACGUCAGGCCAAGGUGUAGCGGAUGAAAUGGGAGUAAUUGGGCUACAUUUUCUUAAUUAAGAAAAAUACGCCCCCUUAUAUGCCCAACUAUUCCAAGGUGGAUUUAGCAGUUGAAAGAAACAAUAGUAUUCUUUUUAAUUAGGCUAUAGAGCGCGCAAACACCGCCCGUCACCCUCUUCAACAUCCACCUUUAAGUAAUUAACUAACGCCAAUAACCAAACAAAGAAGAGGAAAGUCGUAACAUGGCAA
This 430-nucleotide ribosomal RNA is filed under the name Onychodactylus fischeri (Fischer's clawed salamander). Its description in RNAcentral is "partial 12S ribosomal RNA". Lineage: Eukaryota; Metazoa; Chordata; Amphibia; Caudata; Hynobiidae. The record is from RNAcentral.